This is a long non-coding RNA of Oncorhynchus masou masou (cherry salmon), 697 nucleotides long. RefSeq lists it as uncharacterized. The record is from RefSeq and is a predicted model, not a curated record. NCBI's taxonomy places the organism in Eukaryota, Metazoa, Chordata, Actinopteri, Salmoniformes, Salmonidae. The transcript has 3 exons.
AUGUGAGUCAGACUGUGUCUGAACUGAGAGAGAAACUAGAAGACUUCCUUAAAGGAGAAUGGACCAAGAUCUCCACUACAGUGAAUAUAGUGGAUGUUGUACUGCCUCCAGAGCCCAAGACCAGAGAACAGUUGUUACAAUAUUCCUGUCAGCUCACACUGGACCCAAACACAGCACGCACACACCUCUCUCUGUCUGAAGGGAACAGAAAGGUGACCAGUACAGACCAAGUCCAACCAUAUCCUGACCAUCCAGACAGAUUCACCUACUGGUGGCAGGUUCUGUGUAGAGAGGGUCUGUCUGGACGCUGUUACUGGGAGGUGGAGAGGACUGGUGGUGUUGCUACAGCAGUCUCAUAUAAAGACAUCAGCAGAACAGAGAGAGAUGGUGUAUUUGGAUACAAUAACAAGUCCUGGAGUUUAAAGUGCUCUAGUGAUGGUUAUUGUUUCAGACACAAUAAUGUUGAGACUAAAGUAUCAGGCCCUCAGUCCUCCAGAGUAGGAGUGUACCUGGAUCACAAGGCAGGUACUCUGUCCUUCUACAGUGUCUCUGACACAAUGACCCUCCUCCACAGAGUCCAGACCACAUUCACUCAGCCCCUCUAUCCUGGGUUUGGUCUCACUGGUUCUGCUGAGCUGGUUAAACUGUAAACUGAUUUGUUAUUAAUUAAAAUUCAAUGCAAUGUUUUAAUCUUGUA